Molecule: ribosomal RNA, 174 nt
Filed under: Poecilimon brunneri
Lineage: Eukaryota; Metazoa; Arthropoda; Insecta; Orthoptera; Tettigoniidae
Description: 5.8S ribosomal RNA
Rfam family: 5.8S ribosomal RNA (bases 10-164)
About the family: 5.8S ribosomal RNA (5.8S rRNA) is a component of the large subunit of the eukaryotic ribosome. It is transcribed by RNA polymerase I as part of the 45S precursor that also contains 18S and 28S rRNA.
Source: RNAcentral
CRUAAGUACAACCCUGAACGGUGGAUCACUCGGCUCGUGGGUCGAUGAAGAACGCAGCAAAUUGCGCGUCGACAUGUGAACUGCAGGACACAUGAACAUCGACAUUUCGAACGCACAUUGCGGUCCAUGGAUUCCGUUCCCGGACCACGCCUGGCUGAGGGUCGGUAGCUAAAA